CUUCUUCACAGACAAAGAAAACUCGAUUUGUCAAAAAUUGAGAGAGUGUAUAAAUGGGAUUGUGACCGCAGGCACUGGCACUUCUGAUGCUGUCUGCAAACACGCCUCGAAAGAGGUGAAAGAAGCCCCCACGAAAGAGGUGAAAGAAGCUCCCACGACAGAGGUGAAAGAAGCCCCCACGAAAGAGGUGAAAGAAGCUCCCACGACAGAGGUGAAAGAAGCUCCCACGAAAGAGGUGAAAGAACCCCCUAAAGCCCACAUUACCCCAUUCCAGGCAACCACAAUCUCUUCUAUGGCCACUUCAAGAAUUACAGACUCCUCUUCCAACAACACACCAAAAAACAGCCUCUACAGCUUGUGGCUGGUCAUGCUAUGUGCUGGUAUUCUUCUGCUGGCUGGACUCCUGUACCACAAGUGUAAAGUCACCCACUGUAUUCAUAACCACAAGAAAGUGGAUUUUCGAAAAGAAAGUGUAUGCAGAAAGCCUGUUGAAGAAUCUGGGGAAAAGUGCCAGUCUUUGCUUGUCUAACGCUGUUGUUAAUGGCCUCAGUGGAAUAUUUUGUAUGCAUGCAAUAUUGGUUGUUUUAUAACUAGUUUAAUUGCUGUUAACUUCAUUAAAUCUCCACUGAAUAACACCACUUAAAGGGAUAGUUCACCCAAAAUUGAAAAUUCUGG
Molecule: long non-coding RNA, 675 nt
Filed under: Sinocyclocheilus anshuiensis
Lineage: Eukaryota; Metazoa; Chordata; Actinopteri; Cypriniformes; Cyprinidae
Description: lncRNA (ENSSANG00000031275.1)
Source: RNAcentral